AUUGAACGCUGGCGGCAUGCCUUACACAUGCAAGUCGAACGGCAGCACGGGAGCAAUCCUGGUGGCGAGUGGCGAACGGGUGAGUAAUGUAUCGGAACGUGCCCAGUCGUGGGGGAUAACGCAGCGAAAGCUGUGCUAAUACCGCAUACGAUCUAUGGAUGAAAGCGGGGGAUCGCAAGACCUCGCGCGAUUGGAGCGGCCGAUAUCAGAUUAGGUAGUUGGUGGGGUAAAGGCUCACCAAGCCGACGAUCUGUAGCUGGUCUGAGAGGACGACCAGCCACACUGGGACUGAGACACGGCCCAGACUCCUACGGGAGGCAGCAGUGGGGAAUUUUGGACAAUGGGCGCAAGCCUGAUCCAGCAAUGCCGCGUGCAGGACGAAGGCCUUCGGGUUGUAAACUGCUUUUGUACGGAGCGAAAAGGCUCUCUCUAAUACAGGGGGCUCAUGACGGUACCGUAAGAAUAAGCACCGGCUAACUACGUGCCAGCCGCCGCGGUAA
This 500-nucleotide ribosomal RNA is filed under the name uncultured bacterium. RNAcentral's name for it is "partial 16S ribosomal RNA". It matches the Rfam family "Bacterial small subunit ribosomal RNA", at positions 30 to 523 of the family's 1533-position model. The record is from RNAcentral.